GAGGGAAUAGCUUAGUGGUAGAGCACAUGCUUAUUUAGCAUGCACAAGUCCUGGGUUCCAUCCUCAGUACCUCUG
RNAcentral lists this transfer RNA (75 nucleotides) under Camelus ferus (Wild Bactrian camel). It matches the Rfam family "tRNA". Rfam says of the family: Transfer RNA (tRNA) molecules are approximately 80 nucleotides in length. The record is from Rfam by way of RNAcentral. Lineage: Eukaryota; Metazoa; Chordata; Mammalia; Artiodactyla; Camelidae.